This 253-nucleotide ribosomal RNA is filed under the name uncultured bacterium. Its description in RNAcentral is "partial 16S ribosomal RNA". It matches the Rfam family "Bacterial small subunit ribosomal RNA", at positions 524 to 776 of the family's 1533-position model. The record is from RNAcentral.
UACGAAGGGGGCUAGCGUUGCUCGGAAUUACUGGGCGUAAAGCGCACGUAGGCGGCUCUUUAAGUCGGGGGUGAAAUCCUGGAGCUCAACUCCAGAACUGCCUUCGAUACUGUAGAGCUUGAGUUCGGGAGAGGUGAGUGGAACUGCGAGUGUAGAGGUGAAAUUCGUAGAUAUUCGGAAGAACACCAGUGGCGAAGGCGGCUCACUGGCCCGGUACUGACGCUGAGGUGCGACAGCUAGGGGAGCAAACAGG